UACGUAGGUGGCUAGCGUUGUCCGGAUUUACUGGGCGUAAAGAGCGCGCAGGCGGUCGUUCAAGUCGAGUGUGAAAGCCCCCGGCUCAACUGGGGAGGGUCACUCGAUACUGAUCGACUCGAAGGCAGGAGAGGGAAGCGGAAUUCCCGGUGUGAGUGGUGAAAUGCGUAGAUAUCAGGAGGAACACCGGUGGUGUAGACGGCUCACUGGACCGUAACUGACGCUGAAACACGGAAAGCGAUGGGU
This 246-nucleotide ribosomal RNA is filed under the name uncultured bacterium. RNAcentral describes it as "partial 16S ribosomal RNA". It matches the Rfam family "Bacterial small subunit ribosomal RNA", at positions 524 to 767 of the family's 1533-position model. The record is from RNAcentral.